ACUCCUGAUAACUGCUGUGGGCUGUUUACGUCUCUGUCCGUGAUGUCGACAUGCUUAUCCUGAUUCAGCUUGGUUUCCUCAUGUGCAGAUGCAGCUCCACAUACACAACACAGUGAGACUGACGCGUAAAGGACCGUAACACAGGCACCAAACCUACUCAGACCCACAACUCCAACAAUAAACAAGAUAAGGCGCACACACGUCACAACCCCAUUGCUAAUAUUGGUGCACCGACGGCUAUUUUAUUUGGCUUCCUUCACAUCGGGAGAAGAUCAAGCUUAUUGUAAACAGGAUAUUAUGUUUCCAUGCACCAAACACCAAAACGGAAUAUGUGAGUGUCCAGAAUAUGAACAGGAUAUUGAUGUGCAGAGAAACACACUCUGUCACAGCUGAUCAAAUGUUCUCUAUUGCAGGGCGGCACGGCUCUCUGCACUCUGUUCAGUGUUACUAACAAAACUGCACCCAAAAGUCAUUUUAAGAGGCAAUGAGCCUGCAGAAGACAGAACAGGUUCAGCGUUUACUGCUUGUGACAGGAAAACUCCCCAAACUCUUGAAAGUCUUUUAAACAUUUUGACUUUGUGACAUUAAAAGUGUCCUUUAAAGUGCUCAUAUGUGUGGCCGGGUCAGCUCAGUUGGUAGAGCAGGCGCACAUGUAUAGAGGUGCAUGCCUCGAUGCAGAAGGUCCAGGUUUCGAGUCCGACUUCCUGCAUGUCUUUCCCCUCUCUCUAGCCUUUCAUAUAUAGCUGUCCUUUCCAUUAAAGGCUGAAAUGCCCAAAAUAAAUCUUAAAAAAAAUAAUA
Molecule: long non-coding RNA, 798 nt
Organism: Sander lucioperca (pikeperch)
Lineage: Eukaryota; Metazoa; Chordata; Actinopteri; Perciformes; Percidae
Exons: 3
Source: RefSeq, a predicted model, not a curated record